This 1290-nucleotide long non-coding RNA is filed under the name Anas platyrhynchos platyrhynchos (common mallard). RNAcentral describes it as "lncRNA (ENSAPLG00000024743.1)". Lineage: Eukaryota; Metazoa; Chordata; Aves; Anseriformes; Anatidae. The record is from RNAcentral.
AUCCCACAUGGAAAAUGGGGAAGGACUAAUAAAGCAGGAGAGGAGCUUGCUUCUUCAAAACAGAAAUCAUUGUUUCAAGGAUUCACAGAGUGUCUUUUAGAAACGCUGGAACAGUACUCACAUCAAAGCAUCCUGGUGUUCAGAACAGGUGGCACACAAAGCCUUUUUUCUCUGUAAUUUCCUUAUGAAAGCCACAUUAUUUAUCUUUCAAACUCAUGCGAAAAUUACAAAAAGAAAAUAAAACAAGUAGGAAAAGUGUUUAUAGGAAGAGUUACAGUCCUGAGGAAUAUUCUCCAAGGGAAAUGAAUGUUUAAUUACACAUACAAGGCAGUGCUUACCCAAUCGAGAGACUCUUCUCAAGUCCUGACGGCUGUUUCCUGGCAUGCAUUGCUUUGGAGGAUCCAUAAGUGACUUGUUUGCUCGGGUAAUGCACGCUUCCACGGCACGCUGCGGAGGUAACAGCACACGGAGAGAGUUUAAUUAUGGAAAAGUCUCCCGACUGUGGAGUUAUCCAGCGUUCCUGACAGAGAACACGCUCCCGGAAAGCCCUGCUCAGAACGAGCCGCAUGUCCCCAAGGCUGACCAGAGAAGAAGGGGAGGACCUCGUUUGUCUACUUUUGAAAACAGCAAAGAUGUUGGGUGUUUAUACCGACACAAUAGUUUUAAACAGAUUAACAGGGGAAUAUCGCAUAAUUGCUAAAGAAACAGCCUAUGAUCAAUUAAUUACUUCUCUAACAAAAAAAUCCUUUAUGCUACCGUUCUCUCCUCAAUUAGUUGAUAAGCUGAAAGACAGUCACUGAACAUUUCACCUAAACACAGAAAGGAGAAUACACCAUCUUAAUUGUUGUUUUCGCCUUUUUUUUUUUUUUUUUUUUUUUAGCUAUGCUGAAAGACUUACCAGUUUCCUCUAUAUCCUCUUUGUUCCAGCUUAUAAAGGAACGCUCUUACUGUGAUGAAUUUCAUGCCACAUUUUUAAAGAAAUGAAAAACCACCCACAUGUCAAAAAGAACAACAAAAGCAUUAAAAAAAAUCACUGGUUUUAAUCUAAUUGAACAUCAGCCAGGACUGUCCCUGCUGCAAUUGUGGUGCUGUUAACACGCAUAGCAAAGUGUCCCAGCAGGUGAAAAAAAAAUAUUACAGACCGACGGGUAGUCACAGUCACAUCUAGCGAUAGCAAGAAAUUGAAGACAAUUAGGAAGCACACCUUCCCUCCAUGCAGCAACUUUGUCACUGCAAACUAAGUCAAUUACAAUUACAAAUAAACCUUUUUUUUUUUUUUCUCUUUGCCCA